GCCGCCGUAGCUCAGUGGAUAGAGCAUUUCCCUCCUAAGGAAAGGGUCACAGGUUCGAUUCCUGUUGGCGGCG
This 73-nucleotide transfer RNA is filed under the name Chitinasiproducens palmae. It matches the Rfam family "tRNA". From Rfam's summary of the family: Transfer RNA (tRNA) molecules are approximately 80 nucleotides in length. The record is from Rfam by way of RNAcentral. Lineage: Bacteria; Pseudomonadati; Pseudomonadota; Betaproteobacteria; Burkholderiales; Burkholderiaceae.